Molecule: ribosomal RNA, 505 nt
Filed under: uncultured bacterium
Lineage: Bacteria
Description: partial 16S ribosomal RNA
Rfam family: Bacterial small subunit ribosomal RNA
Source: RNAcentral
GACGAACGCUGGCGGCGUGCCUAAUACAUGCAAGUAGAACGCACAGUUUAUACCGUAGCUUGCUACACCAUAAACUGUGAGUUGCGAACGGGUGAGUAACGCGUAGGUAACCUGCCUGGUAGCGGGGGAUAACUAUUGGAAACGAUAGCUAAUACCGCAUAAUAUUAAUUAUUGCAUGAUAAUUGAUUGAAAGAUGCAAUUGCAUCACUACCAGAUGGACCUGCGUUGUAUUAGCUAGUAGGUGAGGUAACGGCUCACCUAGGCGACGAUACAUAGCCGACCGGGGAGGGGGGUGGGCGACGCUGGGAGUGGGACGCGGCGCAGACUCCUACGGGAGGCAGCAGUAGGGAAUCUUCGGCAAUGGGGGAAAGUCUGACCGGGCAACGCCGCGGGAGUGAAGAAGGUUGUCGGAUCGUAAAGCUCUGUUGUAAGAGAAGAACGGGUGUGGGAGUGGAAAGUUCACACUGUGACGGUAGCUUACCAGAAAGGGACGGCUAACUACGUG